RNAcentral lists this ribosomal RNA (244 nucleotides) under uncultured bacterium. RNAcentral describes it as "partial 16S ribosomal RNA". It matches the Rfam family "Bacterial small subunit ribosomal RNA", at positions 14 to 244 of the family's 1533-position model. The record is from RNAcentral.
UGAUCCUGGCUCAGGAUGAACGCUAGCUACAGGCUUAACACAUGCAAGUCGAGGGGAAACGACAUCGAAAGCUUGCUUUUGUAUGGGCGUCGACCGGCGCACGGGUGAGUAACGCGUAUCCAACCUGCCCAUCACUUGGGGAAUAACCUUGCGAAAGUAAGACUAAUGCCCAAUGAUAUCCCACGAAGGCAUCCGAAUGGGAUUAAAGAUUUUAUCGGUGAUGGAUGGGGAUGCGUCUGAUUAG